Molecule: ribosomal RNA, 397 nt
Filed under: uncultured bacterium
Lineage: Bacteria
Description: partial 16S ribosomal RNA
Rfam family: Bacterial small subunit ribosomal RNA
Source: RNAcentral
AUACGUAGGUGGCAAGCGUUGUCCGGAAUUAUUGGGCGUAAAGCGCGCGCAGGUGGUUCCUUAAGUCUGAUGUGAAAGCCCCCGGCUCAACCGUGGAGGGUCAUUGGAAACUGGGGGACUUGAGUGCAGAAGAGGAAAGUGGAAUUCCAAGUGUAGCGGUGAAAUGCGUAGAGAUUUGGAGGAACACCAGUGGCGAAGGCGACUUUCUGGUCUGUAACUGACGCUGAGGCGCGAAAGCGUGGGGAGCAAACAGGAUUAGAUACCCUGGUAGUCCACGCCGUAAACGAUGAGUGCUAAGUGUUAGGGGGUUUCCGCCCCUUAGUGCUGCAGCUAACGCAUUAAGCACUCCGCCUGGGGAGUACGGUCGCAAGACUAAAACUCAAAUGAAUUGACGGGG